AAGGUGGCUUUUGGGCUGUCGCAGAUGGAUGAGCCUGCGUUGGAUUAGCUAGUUGGUGGGGUAAGGGCCUACCAAGGCUACGAUCCAUAGCUGAUUUGAGAGGAUGAUCAGCCACAUUGGGUGAGACACGGCCCAAACUCUUACUGGAGGCAGCAGUGAGGAAUAUUGGACAAUGGGGGCAACCCUGAUCCAGCAAUGCCAUGUGUGUGAAGAAGGCCUUAGGGUUGUAAAGCACUUUAGUUGGGGAAGAAAGCUUUGAGGAUAAUAGCCUUGAGGAAGGACGUUACCCAAAGAAUAAGCACCGGCUAACUCCGUGCCAGCAGCCGCGGUAAUACGGGGGGUGCAAGCGUUAAUCG
RNAcentral lists this ribosomal RNA (356 nucleotides) under Francisella endosymbiont of Hyalomma asiaticum. RNAcentral's name for it is "bacterial SSU rRNA". It matches the Rfam family "Bacterial small subunit ribosomal RNA", at positions 202 to 547 of the family's 1533-position model. The record is from RNAcentral. Lineage: Bacteria; Pseudomonadati; Pseudomonadota; Gammaproteobacteria; Thiotrichales; Francisellaceae.